CGCAACCCUUAUCCUUUGUUGCCAGCGGUCCGGCCGGGAACUCAAAGGAGACUGCCAGUGAUAAACUGGAGGAAGGUGGGGAUGACGUCAAGUCAUCAUGGCCCUUACGACCAGGGCUACACACGUGCUACAAUGGCAUAUACAAAGAGAAGCGACCUCGCGAGAGCAAGCGGACCUCAUAAAGUAUGUCGUAGUCCGGAUUGGAGUCUGCAACUCGACUCCAUGAAGUCGGAAUCGCUAGUAAUCGUAGAUCAGAAUGCUACGGUGAAUACGUUCCCGGGCCUUGUACACACCGCCCGUCACACCAUGGGAGUGGGUUGCAAAAGAAGUAGGUAGCUUAACCUUCGGGAGGGCGCUUACCACUUUGUGAUUCAUGACUGGGGUGAAGUCGUAACAAGGUAACCGUAGGGGAACCUGCGGUUGGAUCACCUCCUUACCUUAAAGAA
This 446-nucleotide ribosomal RNA is filed under the name Klebsiella pneumoniae. Its description in RNAcentral is "bacterial SSU rRNA". It matches the Rfam family "Bacterial small subunit ribosomal RNA", at positions 1097 to 1533 of the family's 1533-position model. Lineage: Bacteria; Pseudomonadati; Pseudomonadota; Gammaproteobacteria; Enterobacterales; Enterobacteriaceae. The record is from RNAcentral.